RNAcentral lists this ribosomal RNA (440 nucleotides) under uncultured bacterium. RNAcentral describes it as "partial 16S ribosomal RNA". It matches the Rfam family "Bacterial small subunit ribosomal RNA", at positions 338 to 795 of the family's 1533-position model. The record is from RNAcentral.
CCUACGGGGGGCAGCAGUAGGGAAUUUUGCGCAAUGGGCGAAAGCCUGACGCAGCAACGCCGCGUGAUGGAGACGGCCUUCGGGGUGUAAAGAUCGGUUAGUGGGGAGGAAAAUUGACGGUACCUACAGAGGAAGCACCGGCUAACUCCGUGCCAGCAGCCGCGGUAAUACGGGGGGUGCAAGCGUUGUCCGGAAUCAUUGGGCGUAAAGAGGUCGUAGGCGGCACGUCAAGUCUGGUGUUAAAGGCAGAGGCUCAACUUCGGUACGGCAGUGGAUACUUGCGGGCUAGAGUGCGCUAGAGGUAAGGGGAAUUCCUGGUGUAGCGGUGAAAUGCUUAGAUAUCAGGAGGAACACCGGUGGCGUAGGCGCUUUACUGGACCGUAAUUGACGCUGAGGAACGAAAGCCAGGGUAGCAAAUAGGAUUAGAUACCCUAGUAGUC